Molecule: ribosomal RNA, 870 nt
Filed under: uncultured bacterium
Lineage: Bacteria
Description: bacterial SSU rRNA
Rfam family: Bacterial small subunit ribosomal RNA
Source: RNAcentral
CUUAGAGUUUGAUCAUGGCUCAGGAUGAACGCUGGCGGUAUGCAUAACACAUGCAAGUCGAACGGUCUGGAAACAGACAGUGGCGGACGGGUGAGUAACGCGUGAGAAUCUAACUUGUGGUUCGGGAUAACCACUGGAAACGGUGGCUAAGACCGGAUGUGCCGGGAGGUGAAAGGGAGACCGCCACAAGAGGAGCUCGCGUCCGAUUAGCUAGAUGGUGGGGUAAAGGCCUACCAUGGCGACGAUCGGUAGCUGGUCUGAGAGGACGAACAGCCACACUGGGACUGAGGCACGGCCCAGACUCCUACGGGAGGCAGCAGUGGGGAAUUUUCCGCAAUGGGCGAAAGCCUGACGGAGCAAUACCGCGUGAGGGAGGAAGGCCCUUGGGUUGUAAACCUCUUUUCUCAGGGAAGAAGAAAUGACGGUACCUGAGGAAAAAGCAUCGGCUAACUCCGUGCCAGCAGCCGCGGUAAUACGGAGGAUGCAAGCGUUAUCCGGAAUGAUUGGGCGUAAAGGGUCCGUAGGUGGUGAUGUAUGUCUAUUGUCAAAGGUUCUGGCUUAACCAGAGACAGGCAGUAGAAACUGCAAAACUAGAGUGCAGUCGGGGCAGGGGGAAUUCCUGGUGUAGCGGUGAAAUGCGUAGAGUUCAGGAAGAACACCGGUGGCGAAAGCGCCCUGCUAGGCUGUGACUGACACUGAGGGACGAAAGCUAGGGGAGCGAAUGGGAUUAGAUACCCCAGUAGUCCUAGCCGUAAACGAUGGAUACUAGGCGUUGCGUGUAUCGACCCAUGCAGUGCCGUAGCUAACGCGUUAAGUAUCCCGCCUGGGGAGUACGCACGCAAGUGUGAAACUCAAAGGAAUUGGCGGGGG